This is a non-coding RNA of Misgurnus anguillicaudatus (oriental weatherfish), 1330 nucleotides long. The record is from RefSeq and is a predicted model, not a curated record. NCBI's taxonomy places the organism in Eukaryota, Metazoa, Chordata, Actinopteri, Cypriniformes, Cobitidae.
UGACUUUGAGAUGGGACUCUGAUAUAACUGAUGAGGAGGAAUGUGGUGAUGCCUCUUAACUAUAAAAGAGAAAUUAAAAACGUUGUCUGUCCAUAUGAUGAUAAUGUGGACAUGAUGCCAACAAAAUCAAGCCAUUCUUGAACACAGACCUUGCCCCAUUACAGGUAUUACUGUCUGAAAAAGGAUUUUAUCAGUCUCAAUACUGAUAUUUCUGUUUCAUAUACCACUGGAGUAUCUCCGAAGGUUUGCGGCAGAAGACAUGAUCACGGCUCUGACAGAUAACACCAAUGAGUACAGUUUCCAAAAGAGAGAAGUAUAGCGGAGGAUUUUCUUUUUCCGGGUGGAUCAUCAAGAAUAUUGGUCAACCUAGUUGUCAAUCAUUCUGGUGAUAUGUUUACGUAAGGCCCUUGUACGUGCUCGUCCCUAGGUUUGCUUUCUGAACAUGCGCACUUUCAGGUGUAUAUGUGUGGUGAGUGAGCUACGUUUUCAGCCAUUCAUUUAAGCUCGCAUUCUCACCGUGUUUUUUCAAAAUGUCUGAGGGUCGCAAGAGAAAAAGUGUCUACGAAUUGUAUGACAAGAAGAGAAAGAAUAUUGGGAGAAUAUUUCACGCGCUGGCGUGCAAUAAAAGCACAGGUUGGGCUACCCACUGAUGCCUCAGUCGCGAAGUUUCUACUCGACAGGUCAGGGCAUCAUCUGGUCAAGGUGUCGUAUUAUUGACCUUCUUGCAGUGGAUCCCAUUAUUCCAAAGGGUCUUGUUCGGCCACUCUGUCUGCUGUGUUCAUGAUUAGCAGUGCCUGGUUUGGUUGACCUCAUCUGGGGUGAUGCAGCCGAGAAUGUGGGUGCAUAGAAUGGGUCACCAACUUAGUGUAAAGCAUACAGAUGAACUCAUAGAGUAACAUACUCCUUGAAGAAACUGUAAAAUGUUAGUGUUUGUGUCCCUGUCUGUGAAAACCAGGCUAAAGUCUGAUUAAAGAUUAGGAGCAUUAAAGUUUGAUUUUAAUCAUUAAUUUCGUAUUGAUUUCAAUCUUUGACAUGGCCUUACUCAGUCAAUAUUACACAUAUCAAAGUUAUAUUUUCACAGAAUGUUCAUUACAUUAUGUAAGCUGAUUUUUAUGUAGAAACGGUACGGCUUUAUCUGGGUUUUCAAAGACUGAGGUAAAUUUAAAUGUACGAAUUGGGGUUUUGCAUUUAACGACACAGACUAAUAACUGCAUUUACAGUCAUAACAUGAUUUGUAAUACUGUAUAGUGUUACCUGAAUAAUCAAUUAGUUUUUGAUUGUUGUUCAUGAGUCUCUUGUUUGUCCUGAGCCAUUAAACUGUCCACCGGUU